AAGUCGUAACAAGGUAUCCGUAGGUGAACCUGCGGAUGGAUCAUUAUCACGUAUCCACGUAUCAACCAUUGUGAACCGUAUUUACCUUCUGAUAAGAAUAUUCCGUAGAACCGAUGCUCAAUUCUAUAGUUUAUAAUGAAUGAAUACCCUCAACGAGCGAGUCUUCGGACCUCGCCCGACGAGUCAGUCAUUCAUGUAAAAGUCUCGAGACCCUGAGGAACUACCGAUGUUUUUAUCAGACUGUAAUAUUUAAUUAACAAUUUAAACCUUAAAUUUUUAUAACUUUUGAACUGACUUAUUUUAUACUCUUCGGAGAUAAAAUUCAUUACGAAACAAAGAACAACUCUUAGCAACGGAUAUCUUGGUUCUC
This 370-nucleotide unclassified non-coding RNA is filed under the name fungal sp. RNAcentral's name for it is "partial internal transcribed spacer region". The stretch from base 1 to 46 matches the Rfam family "Eukaryotic small subunit ribosomal RNA", at positions 1786 to 1831 of the family's 1831-position model. The record is from RNAcentral. Lineage: Eukaryota; Fungi.